UCUGUAACCCGCCAUGAAACCAAAGAAGAAGAAGACGAACGUGUAGUAGUUGUUGUGUACAGUGUCAAAGAUGAACCACUUCACAAAGUCAUUUGCUGAGAGCUGAUAUCCCCGCGUGCAGUAUGGACAGACGAGAGUUCACAGCCUCCCUUGUGGCAGGCGGCUGUGCGGGAAUGUGUGUAGAUCUCACUCUCUUCCCUCUGGACACCAUAAAGACAAGACUGCAGAGCCAGGAGGGCUUCUACAAGACGGGAGGUUUCCGUGGGAUCUAUGCAGGGGUCCCAUCUGCUGCUAUAGGCUCCUUUCCCAAAUGCUGCUGCGUUCUUUGUCACCUAUGAAAGCACCAAGUUGUUCUUCGCUGGCUACACUGCUUCAAGCUUGGCCCCCAUCACUCACAUGCUGGCUGCUUCACUAGGAGAAAUCAGACAAAUAUGCAGAAGGCUUAGAAUGGGGUUUUUGUUGGAUGUUUUUUGCUCUGGGUUAGAUCCGGGCCACAGACGACCCUUUAUUUUCCCACCAGCUGGCCAAAUAGGAUCUUGUUGUUGUCUAUUGACAUAACUGUUUUUAUACAGAUGAGUCUUGCAGUUUUGUCAAAGGAGAUUUAGGUGUUGGAGCUGUAAGGAGCACCUUCAUUUCCUCUGCUAGUGAAAUUCUGUACGCUCAGAGCAAUGCAUUCCAGAAAGAUCCAACACAUAAGCAAAAAGAUUGCCAUUUAAUCUUUCCUUAGUGCACACUCCACCUUAAAAAAUGUAAUGCAAUCUAAUACAUACACUACUAUUCAAAAGUUUGGAAUCACUUUGGCAUUUUUAUGUUUCUUUUAUGUAUUCAAAGAUGCAUUUAAUUGAUUAAAAAAUUGCAAUAAAGACAUUUGUUGGUUAUGCC
Molecule: long non-coding RNA, 882 nt
Organism: Megalobrama amblycephala (Wuchang bream)
Lineage: Eukaryota; Metazoa; Chordata; Actinopteri; Cypriniformes; Xenocyprididae
Exons: 4
Source: RefSeq, a predicted model, not a curated record